UACAGAGGGGGCAAGCGUUAUUCGGAAUUAUUGGGCGUAAAGGGCGCGUAGGCGGCUUGGCAAGUGGAUGGUGAAAUCCCUCGGCUUAACCGAGGAACUGCCGUCCAAACUGCUUCGCUUGAGACCGGGAGAGGUGAGUGGAAUAGCCAGUGUAGAGGUGAAAUUCGUAGAUAUUGGCUGGAACACCGGUGGCGAAAGCGGCUCUCUGGCCCGGUUCUGACGCUGAGGCGCGAAAGCGUGGGGAGCAAACAGG
Molecule: ribosomal RNA, 253 nt
Filed under: uncultured bacterium
Lineage: Bacteria
Description: partial 16S ribosomal RNA
Rfam family: Bacterial small subunit ribosomal RNA
Source: RNAcentral